AGUCGAGCGAACAGAUAAGGAGCUUGCUCCUUUGACGUUAGCGGCGGACGGGUGAGUAACACGUGGAUAACCUACCUAUAAGACUGGGAUAACUUCGGGAAACCGGAGCUAAUACCGGAUAACAUAUUGAACCGCAUGGUUCAAUAGUGAAAGGCGGCUUUGCUGUCACUUAUAGAUGGAUCCGCGCCGUAUUAGCUAGUUGGUAAGGUAACGGCUUACCAAGGCAACGAUACGUAGCCGACCUGAGAGGGUGAUCGGCCACACUGGAACUGAGACACGGUCCAGACUCCUACGGGAGGCAGCAGUAGGGAAUCUUCCGCAAUGGGCGAAAGCCUGACGGAGCAACGCCGCGUGAGUGAUGAAGGUCUUCGGAUCGUAAAACUCUGUUAUCAGGGAAGAACAAAUGUGUAAGUAACUGUGCACAUCUUGACGGUACCUGAUCAGAAAGCCACGGCUAACUACGUGCCAGCAGCCGCGGUAAUACGUAGGUGGCAAGCGUUAUCCGGAAUUAUUGGGCGUAAAGCGCGCGUAGGCGGUUUUUUAAGUCUGAUGUGAAAGCCCACGGCUCAACCGUGGAGGGUCAUUGGAAACUGGAAAACUUGAGUGCAGAAGAGGAAAGUGGAAUUCCAUGUGUAGCGGUGAAAUGCGCAGAGAUAUGGAGGAACACCAGUGGCGAAGGCGACUUUCUGGUCUGUAACUGACGCUGAUGUGCGAAAGCGUGGGGAUCAAACAGGAUUAGAUACCCUGGUAGUCCACGCCGUAAACGAUGAGUGCUAAGUGUUA
Molecule: ribosomal RNA, 783 nt
Filed under: Staphylococcus sp. LKS-197
Lineage: Bacteria; Bacillati; Bacillota; Bacilli; Caryophanales; Staphylococcaceae
Description: bacterial SSU rRNA
Rfam family: Bacterial small subunit ribosomal RNA
Source: RNAcentral